This 504-nucleotide ribosomal RNA is filed under the name uncultured bacterium. RNAcentral's name for it is "partial 16S ribosomal RNA". It matches the Rfam family "Bacterial small subunit ribosomal RNA", at positions 30 to 523 of the family's 1533-position model. The record is from RNAcentral.
AUUGAACGCUGGCGGCAGGCCUAACACAUGCAAGUCGAGCGGUAACACAGGGAGCUUGCUCCCGGGUGACGAGCGGCGGACGGGUGAGUAAUGUCUGGGAAACUGCCUGAUGGAGGGGGAUAACUACUGGAAACGGUAGCUAAUACCGCAUAAUGUCGCAAGACCAAAGAGGGGGACCUUCGGGCCUCUUGCCAUCCGCUGGGCCCAGAUGGGAUUAGCUAGUAGGUGGGGUAACGGCUCACCUAGGCGACGAUCCCUAGCUGGUCUGAGAGGAUGACCAGCCACACUGGAACUGAGACACGGUCCAGUCUCCUACGGGAGGCAGCAGUGGGGAAUAUUGCACAAUGGGCGCAAGCCUGAUGCAGCCAUGCCGCGUGUAUGAAGAAGGCCUUCGGGUUGUAAAGUACUUUCAGCGGGGAGGAAGGUGUUGAGGUUAAUAACCUCAGCAAUUGACGUUACCCGCAGAAGAAGCACCGGCUAACUCCGUGCCAGCCGCCGCGGUAA